UACGUAGGUGGCAAGCGUUGUCCGGAAUUAUUGGGCGUAAAGGGCUCGCAGGCGGUUUCUUAAGUCUGAUGUGAAAGCCCCCGGCUCAACCGGGGAGGGUCAUUGGAAACUGGGAAACUUGAGUGCAGAAGAGGAGAGUGGAAUUCCACGUGUAGCGGUGAAAUGCGUAGAGAUGUGGAGGAACACCAGUGGCGAAGGCGACUCUCUGGUCUGUAACUGACGCUGAGGAGCGAAAGCGUGGGGAGCGAACAGGA
This 254-nucleotide ribosomal RNA is filed under the name uncultured bacterium. RNAcentral describes it as "partial 16S ribosomal RNA". It matches the Rfam family "Bacterial small subunit ribosomal RNA", at positions 524 to 777 of the family's 1533-position model. The record is from RNAcentral.